UAUUUUGACUAUACAAAGGUAUUGAAAUAAGAUUUUAAUUGAAUGCUAAGAGAAUGGAAUUUCAGAAAAAAACUUUUUUUAAAUUAAAAAUUGAAAUUUUUUUAAUUUGUGCAGAAACAAUUAUUAACAUUAAGGACAAGAAGACCCUAUGAAUUUUUAAAAUUUUUAAUAAUAGUAAUUUAUUAUUAUUAAAAAUUUUAGCUGGGGUGGCUAAAAAAUAUAAUUAACUUUUUAAGAAUAAAACGAUCCACUAAUAAUGAUUACAUGUUAAAUACUCUAGGGAUAACAGCGUUAUAUUUUUUGAUAGACCAUAUUGACAAAAAAGUUUGCGACCUCGAUGUUGGAUUAGGAUACUUUUUUAAUGAAGAUAUUAAAAAAAGAAGUUUGUUCAACUUUUAAUUUCCU
This 405-nucleotide ribosomal RNA is filed under the name Rhipicephalus pusillus. RNAcentral describes it as "partial large subunit ribosomal RNA". The record is from RNAcentral. Lineage: Eukaryota; Metazoa; Arthropoda; Arachnida; Ixodida; Ixodidae.